This 437-nucleotide ribosomal RNA is filed under the name uncultured bacterium. RNAcentral describes it as "partial 16S ribosomal RNA". It matches the Rfam family "Bacterial small subunit ribosomal RNA", at positions 28 to 507 of the family's 1533-position model. The record is from RNAcentral.
GAUGAACGCUGGCGGCAUGCUUAACACAUGCCAGUCGGACGGGAAGUGGUGUUUCUUGUGGCGGUCGGGUUAGUAACGCGUAAGAACCUGCCCUUUGGAUGGGAACAACAGCUGGAAACGGCUGCUAAUACCCCGUACGCUGAGUAGCAAAAGGAGUAAUCCGCCCGAGGAGGGGCUCGCGUCUGAUUAUCUAGCUGGUGAAGCAAUAGCUUACCAAGGCGAUGAUCAGUAUAUGUUGCGAGAGGAAGACCGGCCACACUGGGACGGAGCCACGGCGCAGGCAACUACGGGAGACAGGAGAGGGGAAUACGGAGCAAUGGGGGAAAGGGUGACAGGGCAAUGGGGCGGGAAGGUAGAGGGACUAGGGGUGAAGAACUUCUUUACCAGGAGAAGAAGCAAUGACGGUACCUGGGGAAUAAGCAUCGGCUAACUCUGUG